CUGUAGUCAACAACACUUUUUGGUGCUCUUCUUCAGUUUAUACUGCAAGCAGCCACUGAGGACUCUCACUGCUCCUUCCUCCAGUAUGCUAGAAGAGAGAAAAGCUACAAGGCAAGGUUGGGUCAAUAUCCCACAGAAAACUGAAUGGAGUGUGUGUGAAUAAGCCAACAGGAAAGGGAGAAGAAAAGGGCAUGGGAAUAGUUUCCUAUUUUUCACCACCAGAGUAAGAACAACAAUAAGAAAAAUGCAGCAACAACUGAAAGACAGAUAUAUCUAUUAAAUAUUUGCCAGUAUCUGUGAAGACGGUGAGUGUUCUGAAGGUUGCAUUGACCGUUUGCUGGAAGGAUGAUAUGUGGUGGAAGACAGCAGAAAGCUGCAAAGAUCAACAGAGCCAGAAGCAUCCAGCAGCCAAAGGUCUUUUUCUGCACUGAAAUUUUAGCCCUGUCUCCAAUUGAAGCAUGAAAGAUAUGACUUAAGAUAGAACACAUGAUUUUAACUGUGGAACAUCACCUCAGGAAGAAGAAUCAAUGAGUGUACCUCCUUGGGAGGUUUGCACAGAAGAAGCAAUCAAGAGUCUCAGGACACUUUACAGACAGAGAUAACUUCUGCAGCUGCUUUUGGGGAUGGCUGAGUGUCAUUAUCCCAUCACACAUGGUGACUGUCUGGGUUUGGAUGGUGAGCAACCUUCCCGAAAGUCAACUACAGGUGUAAGAGUUGUCUCCCAUCUGCUGCCACAUAGACACAAAAUGGAAACAGUGGGACAUCUACCCAGUGUAGAAACAAUUCAGUGGAAGACAUCCGACAACUCAACUUUCAGGUUGCACUGUUUUUUAUAUACAGGCAAGGGAAGAAAUCUAUUCAGACUGGAAAAGGCAGAUGGAAUUUCCUGUACUGGGUUUGCAGGAGAUGAUUCUGAAGACUGAGAAGCUAAUUCACUGCUGUCUUGAAAAUAAGUUUGAACUUGCUAAGGUCUGUUCAGUGGCUGAGUCAAACUGCUACUAAAUUCUGUCAUUCUGAAUAAAUAUUUAUGUGGUUCAUUUCUGCUGUACUAAGUCUGCAUGCUAAUUAUGUCUGCAUGACAGUCUAACCAAAAUAAAACCAUUAUUUAGGUCUGAAUUUUAUUGAACAUGUGAUAAUUUUAUUUGACAUGAAAAAUUAAAACCACUUGGAAGGUCUGACAAAGAUCUAGUAUUUAAAACUUAUCCUCAUCUUCCUAGAGGAACCCUUUCCUGAGCCUUGGAAUGCUAGCAAUUUUAAACUACUUUGGCUUUUUGAUUCUUAAACAUUCAUAAGUAUCUCUACACACUUUUCUGCAAAUCUGCUCAAGAAAAGUUUAUAUAAUAUUCAUUUUUGGUACAUAUGGGAGAAAUUAAGAGCCUUGCCAACACUCCCUAGUGUUGUGUUUUCCUUUUCUUUUUUCUGUGAAUGAACAAGCU
Long non-coding RNA from Centrocercus urophasianus (Greater sage-grouse), 1436 nucleotides. RefSeq lists it as uncharacterized. The transcript is spliced from 7 exons. The record is from RefSeq and is a predicted model, not a curated record. Lineage: Eukaryota; Metazoa; Chordata; Aves; Galliformes; Phasianidae.